Molecule: transfer-messenger RNA, 393 nt
Filed under: Patescibacteria group
Lineage: Bacteria
Description: f UBA917 X1 Standard tmRNA
Rfam family: transfer-messenger RNA
About the family: Bacterial tmRNA, also known as 10Sa RNA or SsrA, is named for its dual tRNA and mRNA-like properties. Its role is to liberate the mRNA from a stalled ribosome.
Source: RNAcentral
GGGGAUGCCAGGCUUCGAUAAUAAGACUCUUAAUGCUAGCAGGCAGCAGGUGAUUGAGGUUUUCACCUAAAUCAAAAUCUUAACUAUAUAAAUGCCAAAAACGCAUUAGCAAAGCUUAGUAAUGCUUUCAGCAUGCCUAACUUUGCGCCAGUUGUUGCCUAACUUGCGCGACAACCAUCGCCCUAGCCAUACCUAAUAGCUAGCCAGCGGUGUCAUUUAUUAGGCUGGAACCAACAUUUGUUGCUGUUGUUAGUUCGAGAUCAAAGGCAACUGGCCUUGAUUGGUUUUGUCUAAUUUUUCACAAUCAAGGUGAGACAACCAAGUUAGACUAUUGUUGUAGAUGUGCUAUCAUUAACUUAUUAGACAGGGGUUCAACUCCCCUCAUCUCCACAU